AGUGAACGCUGGCGGCAGGCCUAACACAUGCAAGUCGAGCGGCAGCGGGUCCCCGCGAGGGGAUGCCGGCGAGCGGCGGACGGGUGAGGAACACAUCGGAAUCUGCCUGGUUGUGGGGGAUAACGUAGGGAAACUUACGCUAAUACCGCAUGCGACCCUGAGUCGACGGACUGGGGGUGAAAGUGAGGGACCUUCGGGCCUCACGCGACCAGAUGAGCCGAUGUCGGAUUAGCUAGUUGGCGGGGUAACGGCCCGCCAAGGCGACGAUCCGUAGCUGGUCUGAGAGGAUGAUCAGCCACACUGGGACUGAGACACGGGCCCAGACUCCUACGGGAGGCAGCAGUGGGGAAUCUUGGACAAUGGGCGCAAGCCUGAUCCAGCCAUG
Molecule: ribosomal RNA, 385 nt
Filed under: uncultured bacterium
Lineage: Bacteria
Description: bacterial SSU rRNA
Rfam family: Bacterial small subunit ribosomal RNA
Source: RNAcentral